Molecule: long non-coding RNA, 558 nt
Filed under: Oryzias sinensis (Chinese medaka)
Lineage: Eukaryota; Metazoa; Chordata; Actinopteri; Beloniformes; Adrianichthyidae
Description: lncRNA (ENSOSIG00000000685.1)
Source: RNAcentral
GCUGAUCGAAGACACUAUUCUUUGAAUAUUAUGGAUUUGGGAAGAGCUGCACAGAAGGUUUCUGUGAUGAAGUCCUUCAAACUUCAGGUCCUCCUCAUCACUCUUCUCAUGUAUGGUGAGUAAAUGCCCACCUUAGUUUAUGUCAAAUGUGAGUUAACGCAACUCACAUUCUCCAAAAUGAAAAAGUAACUUACGCUUAAAGUUUAUUGUAAAACAAUCUUCAGAAAACCAGAAAUAUGUUACAAAUAAAUUGCUCUGAAGGAAAGAACAGAUAAAACAGCUCUAUACAUAAAUGUAAGCAUACAAUAUUUCUUAACUCAUAUUUUCUCAAAUGAUUGUAUUUGAGCCUUCGUACAGGUGAGAAGACUUUCAAGGAUCCACUUUGUAGGUAAUGAGACCUUUUGGAACGUUUGGACUGAAAUAGGUGGUAUAGAUAAGGAAUAUCUGAAAGGACUCGGAUCAUUUCAAUUCUUUGGUUUGAUGUCUUUUUCUUUUGUGUUUCCCCUCAAUUCUGAAUUCUGAAAAAAUCAACUGAAUUAAAGUGUUACUGGUUUAAUA